GGAUUGUGACUCAGUGGUACAGUACUUGCCUACCACGUGUGAGGCCCUGGGUUCAAACCUCAGCACCA
RNAcentral lists this transfer RNA (68 nucleotides) under Marmota monax (woodchuck). Its description in RNAcentral is "tRNA.Gly". The record is from RNAcentral. Lineage: Eukaryota; Metazoa; Chordata; Mammalia; Rodentia; Sciuridae.